UUAUGGCCAUAUCACAUUGAAACACCGAUUCUCAUACAAUCACCAAAGUUAAGCAUCAUUGAACCUGGUCCUUACCUUGGUGGGCAACUGCUUGGGAAUACUGGGUGUUGUAAG
Non-coding RNA from Acanthosepion pharaonis, 114 nucleotides. NCBI's taxonomy places the organism in Eukaryota, Metazoa, Mollusca, Cephalopoda, Sepiida, Sepiidae. The record is from the annotation of a GenBank genome assembly.